This 1730-nucleotide long non-coding RNA is filed under the name Triticum aestivum (bread wheat). Its description in RNAcentral is "long non-coding RNA (TAES_LNC007907)". The record is from RNAcentral. Lineage: Eukaryota; Viridiplantae; Streptophyta; Magnoliopsida; Poales; Poaceae.
GCGCCCCGAUGGCCGACGCCGCACGCCCCGGCAGCCGCGCGUCCCGUCCGGCCUCUCAGUCUCACUGAUUGGUGGGCCAAAGGGAAGGCACAGACAAGAGGGGCGAGGAAAGUGUCCGUUUUCUGUCCAUUUGGGAGCAUUCUUGGACCAAGUUUGCUCCAGGUUUGAGGUUGGGCGGGACAAAAAAAGCGUCCAACGGACAGAGUUGUCCGUUUGGGUAUUACCGCUGGGUCGUAUUUUACCCCAAACGGACAAAUUCGGACCGGAUGGGUCAAAUUCGGACCGGAUGGGUCACGCGGUGGAGUUGGCCUAAGUUUUUUUCUUUUUUGAGACAAUCCUCGUAAGUUGAAGAGUCCUUGACUGAUGCUGCACUUCUCUUGUGUUCUUCGCUGGGCAUUGGGCUGAUUUGGUGUGUGCGUGCAUGCGCAGGGGCGCCGGAUCUACAACAUGUCCCACGGCAUCGGGAAGGAAGGAGUGACCCAUUUUGGGUACCGAUUCAAGCCCUCUCUACUGUGUCGUCUCAACACAUACGAGCCCUUGUACAGUUGUGUGUGUACGUACCCUGGUGAAGUGAAAGCAAUGUAGUACUGGAAGUGUUGGAUUCAGAUGGGUGCUGUCGCCUAUUUUGAACGAGCAAGCCAACAAUCGAGUGGUUUUCCAGUUAAGAUAACAAAGAUCAUGUAUUUGAUUUGCAAGGGCACCUCUCCACCAAAGACCAGAAACACAUGCAAAGCGUAGGCAAUCCAUGGAGAACCUAUAUUACAUUAGUGUUGCGUCCACUGAUUAUUGCAUAGUAAGUACCUUUGUCCUCAGACUGUCAUGGAAGCUAUAUGACCCUGCCGAUGCGGGUAUCAACCACUGUAGGCUUUGAAGCUUCUGAAAACUCCAACGCUUGGGCUAAUGUUAACCUAUGAUUCUUCCAGGCAUCCUCUGCCCACUCCUUCAUUCGCUCACCUUCUGCCUUCCUAUUCGACUGGAUAAGCAACAGUUCGGCAUACUCGCCUGCAAAUUGGACAGGCAGCAACAAAUUCAAUAUUAACCAAAUGUAAGAACAUGAGCACGGGGCACUGUAAGAGCCUCGAUAAUGCUGACUACUUUCACUGUUUACGGUUACUAGGAUUUGUCAGAACUCCAGGCUUACACUAACACUAACCAACGGUUACGGUACUCUGCGAUUCUAGGAAAGUUUUCAUGGGAAAGAUUAGAAAAUAUGUUUUCCCAUGCUCCAGUUACUGAAACAAGGGUUUACGACACGUUGCAAUCCUACUGACUACUGUACUAACACAGACAGGUAGGCAGGUUUGGAUUCACAUUGUUAGGUUACAUUUACAAGAUCCACACAAAAAGGGGGGAUUACAUUACAAGAUUUAGCACAAGCCACCCCAUAUCGUCUCAUUCAAACAGGAGGCAAGGAAACAAGCAAAAAUAAAAUAAAAGAACUGUAAACCAGAAGCUAGAAUGACCCGGUAGAGGAAAACUUAAACUGAUUAUGAUAUCAAUUGGCAAUCAAUUGACAUAUAUGAUGUUGCAUGAAGUAACUUGCUUUUCUAAUAAUACACUAGAAGUGCCUUUUGGUAUAAUGUUCCAGAGAAGAUUAGGUAAUAAAGAUUCAAAGUAUAACCUCUAGCAAGUGAAAUGAUAUCUCUCCAAUCGACCUGCCUUCUUGUGUCUGCAAAAUAUUAAUACGAAACUUAAUACUGCCCAAGGGAUUAACAAGAAACAACACCAUA